Molecule: ribosomal RNA, 110 nt
Filed under: Caerostris darwini
Lineage: Eukaryota; Metazoa; Arthropoda; Arachnida; Araneae; Araneidae
Source: RNAcentral
ACGGCCGUACCAUGCUGAAUAUACCGGUUCUCGUUAGAUCACCGAAGUCAAGCAUCAUUGGGCGCGGUCAGUACUUGGUGGGUGACCACCUGGGAACACCGCGUGCCGUU